Molecule: ribosomal RNA, 195 nt
Filed under: uncultured Burkholderiales bacterium
Lineage: Bacteria; Pseudomonadati; Pseudomonadota; Betaproteobacteria; Burkholderiales
Description: partial 16S ribosomal RNA
Rfam family: Bacterial small subunit ribosomal RNA
Source: RNAcentral
GGGGGAGUAACUAGUCGAAAGAUUAGCUAAUACCGCAUACGAUCUAAGGAUGAAAGUGGGGGAUCGCAAGACCUCAUGCUCGUGGAGCGGCCGAUAUCUGAUUAGCUAGUUGGUGGGGUAAAAGCCUACCAAGGCGUCGAUCAGUAGCUGGUCUGAGAGGACGACCAGCCACACUGGGACUGAGACACGGCCCAG